UACGUAGGGUGCAAGCGUUGUCCGGAAUUAUUGGGCGUAAAGAGCUUGUAGGCGGUUUGUCGCGUCUGCUGUGAAAUUUCGGGGCUCAACCCCGAACUUGCAGUGGGUACGGGCAGACUAGAGUGUGGUAGGGGAGACUGGAAUUCCUGGUGUAGCGGUGAAAUGCGCAGAUAUCAGGAGGAACACCGAUGGCGAAGGCGACUACCUGGCCUGUUCUUGACGCUGAGGCGCGAAAGCUAGGGGAGCAAACGGG
This 253-nucleotide ribosomal RNA is filed under the name uncultured bacterium. RNAcentral's name for it is "partial 16S ribosomal RNA". It matches the Rfam family "Bacterial small subunit ribosomal RNA", at positions 524 to 776 of the family's 1533-position model. The record is from RNAcentral.